GAUGAAGAACGUAGCGAACGUGCGAAACGUAAUGUGAAUUGCAGAAUUCAGUGAAUCAUCGAAUCUUUGAACGCAUCUUGCGCUCCUUGGUAUUCCGAGGAGCAUGCCUGUUUGAGUGUCGUGAAAUACUCUCAAUUUCAAUCUUUCUUUUUGGGGGCUUGAAAUUGGAUUUGGGUGUUGUUGUGUUGAUUCACAGCUCAUCCUAAAUGCAUUAGCGAUCUGCCUUCGAUCACACACAAUGUGAUAAGAAAAAGCAUUGUUAGUAUCAAGUCAGGGUUGCUUCGAACCGUCCUUUUGGACAACCAUUUCUAUGUCAUUUGACCUCAGAUCAGGCAGGACUACCCGCUGAACUUAAGCAUAUCAAUAAGCGGAGGA
This 375-nucleotide unclassified non-coding RNA is filed under the name soil metagenome. Its description in RNAcentral is "partial contains 5.8S ribosomal RNA, internal transcribed spacer 2, and large subunit ribosomal RNA". The stretch from base 1 to 121 matches the Rfam family "5.8S ribosomal RNA", at positions 35 to 154 of the family's 154-position model. The record is from RNAcentral.